UACGGGGGGGGCAAGCGUUGUUCGGAAUUACUGGGCGUAAAGGGCGCGUAGGCGGCCUGCUAAGUCGGAUGUGAAAUCCCUCGGCUCAACCGAGGAACUGCAUCCGAUACUGGCGGGCUUGAAUCCGGGAGAGGGAUGUGGAAUUCCAGGUGUAGCGGUGAAAUGCGUAGAUAUCUGGAGGAACACCGGUGGCGAAGGCGGCAUCCUGGACCGACACUGACACUGAGGAGCGAAAGCCAGGGGAGCAAACGGG
Molecule: ribosomal RNA, 253 nt
Filed under: uncultured bacterium
Lineage: Bacteria
Description: partial 16S ribosomal RNA
Rfam family: Bacterial small subunit ribosomal RNA
Source: RNAcentral